This 384-nucleotide ribosomal RNA is filed under the name uncultured bacterium. RNAcentral describes it as "bacterial SSU rRNA". It matches the Rfam family "Bacterial small subunit ribosomal RNA", at positions 427 to 793 of the family's 1533-position model. The record is from RNAcentral.
AAAGCACUUUCAGUCGUGAGGAAGGUGGUAGUGUUAAUAGCACUAUCAUUUGACGUUAGCGACAGAAGAAAGCACCGGCUAACUCCGUGCCAGCAGCCGCGGUAAUACGGAGGGUGCGAGCGUUAAUCGGAAUUACUGGGCGUAAAGACGCAUGCAGGUGGUUUGUUUAAGUUCAGAUGUGAAAGACCCGGGGCGUCAACCUCGGAAUAGCAUUUGAAACUAGGCAGACUAGAGUACUGUAGAGGGGGGUAGGAAUUUCAGGUGUAGCGGUGAAAUAGCGUAGAGAUCUGAAGGAAUACCGGUGGCGAAGGCGGCCCCCUCGGACAGAUACUGACACUCAGAUGCGAAAGCGUGGGGAGCAAACAGGAUUAGAUACCCUGGUAG